UCAAACAAAGAAAAAGAUACGAGUAACUGACAAAUGGUAUAAUUGACAAAUCGUACUUUAAAAUACCAAAACGACAGUUAAAUAGGAACAAAAAAUUCACCCUAAAACGACACUUAAAAAGAAACUGAAGAAGUAUUAUUUAUCCGAAACUUAAUCCCUAUCUUUUAACUUCUUAACUUUGUAAACCUUUAGCUCAACUUAUUGAGCUAUCCCCAAUCAGUAUUCAUUUUAUGUGGGGCCUUUAUUAAUAAUAAUUCUAUUUUAUGUUUGGCCUUCUUAAUUUUGAGUUUUCUCGUCAGAAAACUUGCAUAGAAAAAAUAGAAUUAUUUAAAAUAAAAAAAAAAUUUCAAAAGAAUACAAGACAUAAAACAUUGCAUGUGCAUGUAAUGCCACAUUACGACCAUAGUCUAAAGAUAAUUUGGGAGUUAUACUUUGCGGAUUCCAAUAGUUUCUUGUAAUUAACAACACUUACUCCUAACACACAAAUUUGUGGCUUAAUGUCUAUAUAUUUGCUUGUAAUCUAAACUUUUCUCAUCAUCCAUUACACAUAGAAACUCUUGUGUCUUAUUUGCAGUUUCAAUACAGUUUUGUUUCUUUACUUCUUGCUUUUUUAUUACAAUGAACUUUUGUGAGCAGACUCCCUUGAUAUUGAGGUUGUGGGAAGAAGUCACAAUGAUAGACUUUCCCUAGGCUAGACAUGUCGUAUGAUAGGUCGCAAACAACUGUCGAUUUGGUCUAUUAUCACCCUUACAUAUAACCUUCAAAUUAUUUGAUUUCUUGUUCAAUAAGUUUUGUCAUGGUUUACCUCCUAGAUAGACUAUAUGUACAAAUUAAAAGAAAUUGAUAAUAAUAAAUUAAAAGUUUGAUUUCCAGCCCCAUAAACUUUGUCAAAUGUUGUUGGCUCCUAGAGAGACUAUAUGGACAGAUUAAAACAAAUUGAUAAUAUAAAUAAAAAAAUUGAUUUUCAGCUCAAUACACUUUUCACAGUUGGCUCUUAGAGAGACUAUAUCGACAUAUCAUUUUAAAAAUAUUCAACUUGUUUUGUCAUGUCUACCUAUAUUAGUUCUAAUAUAUACAUAUAGACACAAACAUAGUGUUGCUAACAUUUUUUUUAUAGACCAAUAUUUAGAUUUAGAAAUCAUGAUUUCCUCGACUAGUAAAUUCUACACUGUCUUCAUGUUCAUUUGUCUUGUCGUUCUCCUUAUUUCUGCAUCAGAGGAAGAAGAAAAAAUUUGUGAAAUUAACUAUCAUCAUACACAAUCGGAGUAUGGUUGUGACAAGUCCUCUUGUAAUGAAGUAUGCAUCAACAUAGAGCAUGCAACUUAUGCGAAACAGACAAACAAAAGAAACAAACAAGAGAAAAACUAAGGCCUAGGGAAGAAAGUUCCCGACGCGUUGAUCCUGAGCUAGGGGAGAAGGUCGACUGGAGGAGAGGAGUGAAUGACUAAAGCAACAUCUGAAGUAGCUCCUAUUUUUGCCAAGAAAUCAGCACACUAGUUACUUUCUUUGAGAGUAUGGUGGAGAGAAUAAUUGUGGUUUGCCAAAAGGUCCUUGAUAUCUUGAAUGAGAACAACAUAUAUGUGGAACUGUUGGUUGUCUCCCAAGAUGAGGUUGAUGGAUAGGAGAGUCUUAAUAACAUACUAAAUUAGCCAUAUACCUUUAUCAAUAGCUAGUUGCAAUCCCAGACGAAUAGCUGUGAGCUUGGCCAAAAGGAUGUCGUCAGUGUUAGGGAUAUGUAGCCUGAAAAGCCUGAGAUAAAAUCAUGCGUUGUUACGGAGAAGACCACCAAAUUGGCAUGGCUAGGAGUUAUGAUGCAGCUACCGUCAACAUUGAGAAUGGGACCGACAUGGUUGCUGCUAUUCCACUUAACAAAAUGAUCGGUUUGGGCAGCAAUAACAUCGAGCUUUCGGAAUAAUUAUUUUGGCUGAGCUCUGAAUGUUGUUGCUUAAACGAAAUAAAGACCAAACCUCAUUACUCAGACACAUCAUGUUUCUAUGCCUCCAAAUCCACCACAAACCAGCAAGAGAAAUAGAAGGCCGAGGGCCUUUAAAGCCGUUUUUAAUCCAGUCAUGCGGACUUGUGGUAGAGAAAAAAUCACUACCUGAGAAACUGAUUUUAUUCCAAAUAAUACUAGAAAACCGACAAUCGUGUACACAGUGAAGGAAAGUUUCUUCUUGGUCUCCACAACAACUAGAGUUGGCCGAGGGCGCUAUUUUUCUAUGGUGAACCAAAGUUAAUAUAGUGUUUCUAUUAAUUAUUUUUUAUUUUAUAUAAAAAAUAUUGUUAA
Molecule: RNA transcript, 2287 nt
Organism: Medicago truncatula (barrel medic)
Lineage: Eukaryota; Viridiplantae; Streptophyta; Magnoliopsida; Fabales; Fabaceae
Exons: 3
Source: RefSeq, a predicted model, not a curated record